RNAcentral lists this transfer RNA (74 nucleotides) under Minisyncoccota bacterium. RNAcentral's name for it is "tRNA-Phe". It matches the Rfam family "tRNA". From Rfam's summary of the family: Transfer RNA (tRNA) molecules are approximately 80 nucleotides in length. Their secondary structure includes four short double-helical elements and three loops (D, anti-codon, and T loops). Further hydrogen bonds mediate the characteristic L-shaped molecular structure. tRNAs have two regions of fundamental functional importance: the anti-codon, which is responsible for specific mRNA codon recognition, and the 3' end, to which the tRNAs corresponding amino acid is attached (by aminoacyl-tRNA synthetases). tRNAs cope with the degeneracy of the genetic code in two manners: having more than one tRNA (with a specific anti-codon) for a particular amino acid; and 'wobble' base-pairing, i.e. permitting non-standard base-pairing at the 3rd anti-codon position. The record is from RNAcentral. Lineage: Bacteria; Bacillati; Minisyncoccota.
GCCCAGGUAGCUCAGUUGGUUAGAGCAUUCGCCUGAAGAGCGAAGGGUCGCCGGUUCGAAUCUGGCCCUGGGCA